AGUUUGCAUAGCAGAAUGCAUAAGCAAAUUAUUAGUUUUUGUACCUGAGGAAAGGCUCAGGUGGGGCUUGAGGCAGACAGACAAGCUUCAACUUCAGCCCAUCACUGACCCACCUAUAAAGCAAUGCUAGUCUCUAAUGCUAGCUAUUUCUAUUUUUUAAAAUGAAGAAGUGAUAGUCUGGAUUUCAUGUGUUAUCUUUAAAUUGCUGAGGAGGAAUUUUUAUAAGAAAGGCCUGGGUAGUCUGGUGGCAGCUGGUUUGUGUCUCUGGUCAAAGCUCUUAGAGUUAGCUGCCACUGGGGUAGGUGGCAUUAUUCUCCCCUGGUUAGUAGACUCUUCAAUGGUCUUGGCUCUAUUUAACUUGCCAGCAUUUUGGCACCACUUUCCCUUUAGGAAACAGAGCUCUAAAUUAUCAGGCCCUCUCUUAGGUUCUUACUCAGCAGAUACUUCUAACGUGGUCUCCUGGUCUGUGAGUCUUCUCCUAUUUGGAUUUCCUAGCUCUUUCCCCUUGAACUUGGCUCCAGCUAUUGCCAAAAUUACAGAUUAAGUACACUUGUCCUGUGUGACGUACUUUUAGCCUGUGGUGUUUAUACUCUGCCCAGAGUGAGACCUGGUUGACAGUGCAGCACCGUGCCUGCCUGAAACAGCUGCUCAUUCUUCUGGUUUUGUGUCUCCCCUGGAUAGUAGUUGGUAUGUGUUUACUUUCCUUCAGUAGCCCCAGGUUCUUGAAUUAGCAAACAUUAGAAAUUGUUACAUAUUUGGCAAGAUGACUUGGUUAUGCCAUUAAUCAAAUGAAACUGUUUUAUUUAAAUGAAAAAUAUUUAAUUUGAGCAUGAACACAUUGAUGUUAUUAAUAUACUAAGUAUGGGUGUGUAUAAAAAGUUUUUUGUGGCUCUAUUCUUUGCUUACUUGGAGGUACCUAGAUAAGCUAAAUAUUAUGAAAGUUGAGGUAACAACGGUGACUUAGAGAAGAAAGUUAGUUAAAAUUGCCUUAUCCAGGCUGAAGCAAGGAUGACACCCGCAGGCUGUAUGUGUUUUACAUAAAUAGGAAAUUUAGUCAACAGACCCUGGGGCUGAAAGCUGACAUAAUUAUCACUAAUACACUUAGUAGUUAUAUUACAGUUGUGGAAAUUUCUUAGAGCACAAAUAAACUUGAUAACAUUAUGGAUGACUCUUUUCCCCUCACCAGGGCUAUGUCAGUGACUGAAAGAUCCAAUGGCGCAGUCCUGACUUAUUCUGUGAUUCACACUGUGAACGCUUAGCCCCGUGCCAACUAGAGAUGUGUGCAUUUGUCUUGUUUCUCGCCACGCUUGGGGCUAGGGCAGAGAAAAUGCAUCGGAAAAUUCUGUUUCCCUACAGACUCUUCCUAGCCGCGAGUGCACUUGAUUGAAAGAAGAUGAACAGUUUGUAGCUGAGCGUUUUUGGGGUCUGUAGGGUUUUUUUUGUUUGUUUUUGUUUUGUUUUGUUUUUGCAGGCAGCCUUGAUGGUUUUCUUGUAUGCAUCCCAAUGGGUGUACUGGAAUUUCCACUGGUUGCUGUCUGUUCUCCUGCAGACAUCUCCCUGGAGAUGGAUGGUGUCAGCUCAUGUGACUAGUGAUGGGUCUGAAGUUGCACUGUCUUGGGAGGCUGAUCUGCUGCCAUUUCUUGUAUACUUACACCGAAGCUUUUGGUAUGUUAUUCAUUUAGGAAGCAGCAAAUAUUCAGAGAGAAUUGGGGCCACUAGCUUUUCACAUAGGAGUUCUAAGAAGGAUCAAGCCCCCUCAGAAGCAGAGUUGGAGAGACAGCAAAUCCUUCAGGAAAUGAGGAAGAGAACAUCUCUCCACAAUGACAACAGCUGGAUCCGACAGCGCAGCGCCAGUGUGAACAAGGAGCCCAUCUGCCUGCCUGGGAUCAUGAGGAGGUGAGACAGUUCCCCAUCGCUUCCUCUUCCCUGUGACGCAAAGGUCUCAUUUGUAGGGCCCCCUCCCUUAGAGAGAGAGAGAGGCUGAGAGAGUCUGGGAGUGGGGGGAGGUCAUUGAGUGCUAUUUUGUGUGUCAUAAUGAGUUGUUGUGUCUAAACUGUCUCAUUUAAGCUGACGGCAAGCAAUGUUUUCAAGUAGACACAGUUACUCUUGUUUUUCUCUGUGAAGAAACUGGUUGAGGCAGAGAAACCAGCUGGGCAAGAUCUCAUUAGGAGGAGGUUCUAAAUCCAAAUGUUGGGUUUUGCAAUGGGAUACAGAUAAUUGAAUACACUUUUGACUCCUGCAUAUUAAACUUGAAGAGAAUGAAACCUACUUAUAUUCAUAAUGAGAUUAAUGGUUAGGUUGGAAUCAUGAUAAUUGGGUUCACAAAAUUGUAUGAAAACAUAAUUUUGUGACUUUUUAGAUGGUAACUGUGUAGAUAUGAAUUAGGUAAGGAUGGGCAUUUGGAGAGGUCUGUCCUGGCAAACAAUCCUGCAGUUACUCUGUUGGGUGUUCUAUCAGCUAAGCAUGGAGACUUACUUGUAACCUGUGUCAGCUACAGAACUAAUUGUCUCGCUAUACAAAUAACUCAUUUAAAACCCACAAGGCAAUCCUAGUAACUUCCUCUACGUUUGUAUCUACAUCUGUCUGUCUCUUUGUCUGUAGCUAAACUGCACAAGCUGUGUGAUAGAUAGUUCAUGGGAACCAGAAACAAAACCAGUACAUACGUAAAAAUCAUCACCACUGUCAGACGGCAGCCUGUCUUCCUGCGUCGAAAGUGUGUACAGCAUUAAGACAUUGAUUUAAACUGGUGCUGGCAACGCAUAAGAAAAUAGGAAUUCUCUUUUCCAACAGCUUCAAUCAAUUUUUUGUGGUGAAUUAAACCAAGUAUACACUUCUUUACCAGGGUGCUAUCUUCUGGAUUCUGUUAAAUUAAGCAAGCAUACAAAGAUAGAGGCAAGGACACACACUAUUGGCAAUGGUGAAAAAAAAAAAAAAAACCAAAGCAGAAAAUUUAAACCACCUCAUCCACAAAACACAAUAUUAUUCUUAAAGGUGCACCUAGUUAAUAGCGGCACAGCAGUUAGAAUGCUGUACAAGUAUUAAAAGGUGCACGGUGCACUGUGUGCAGUCAGCACCUCAGGAGAUAAGGAAGAAAGGGUCCAGUACUCUUGUGCUUUCGGGAUGGAGUGCAUGCUGUAUGUUUUUUCCUCAUUUAGGCAAGCACACCAAAUUUAAAAUAACUCCUCUCCCGUGUGUGAGGGUUGUCUGGUCUGUUCUUUGCCUGGUGUUGGCUUCGGCACUUGAGCAGCCAUGGAUCUGGAGUUGGCGAUUCCUUUUUUUCUUUUAAAUAAAAGAGAUAGUAACGGUCUGGCAGCCCCUCCGCCAUGUAUUCAUUGUUUCUUUAAUGACUCUGAGCAUGUAAAAUGCCCAUGAGUUCCGCAUGUCUUAGCAAUGGCCUUUCUGAAGAGAUCCCUCCUGGGCUCAGCCAGGGCUCUUGAAUUGUAAUUCCCUUCCCACACAGCUGCUGGAGCUACCUCAUGGUGCAGCACUAACAUUCAAAGAGGAAGCUUUCAGAAGACAGUUCCAGACGUGAAAAUGCUUAUCGCUCUCCAUGCAUAUCACAUUUGCCGGUGCCCUAUGCUGUAAAAUAGCCACAUGGUCAACCCCAGGGUCAGUGGGCGGGCACUGAACAGGAGAGCAGACACACAAAAAAAUGAAUGGUUCUAUGGGAAGCAUUGGCUUACAGGCUAUCACGUGAUGAGGCUUUUACGGUUGUAAAAGAAUAAAAACCAUAUUGUUCCCAUUUUGAGGACUUCUAUAGACGCCUGUAGUAACUUACAUAUGCAAAUUUGUAUGUAUGUGUAAUUAUUUCCUUGCAUAUCUGAGAAAAACCUGUAAGGAGUCACAAUUAAGGGUUGCUGCUUUGGAGGAUUAGGGCGAAUGUAGAAAGUAAGGGAAGAAGGAACCCUUGUCCACCCCCAGAAGACCCUUGCUUGCUUCUUGACCUAUUCCCUAUGGAAUUUAUAUUGUAAUGUUGCAUUACUUACAAUGUUAAG
Molecule: long non-coding RNA, 3995 nt
Filed under: Mus musculus (house mouse)
Lineage: Eukaryota; Metazoa; Chordata; Mammalia; Rodentia; Muridae
Description: long non-coding RNA chr14:101924413-101928408
Source: RNAcentral